RNAcentral lists this ribosomal RNA (465 nucleotides) under uncultured Klebsiella sp. RNAcentral describes it as "bacterial SSU rRNA". It matches the Rfam family "Bacterial small subunit ribosomal RNA", at positions 338 to 795 of the family's 1533-position model. Lineage: Bacteria; Pseudomonadati; Pseudomonadota; Gammaproteobacteria; Enterobacterales; Enterobacteriaceae. The record is from RNAcentral.
CCUACGGGUGGCUGCAGUGGGGAAUAUUGCACAAUGGGCGCAAGCCUGAUGCAGCCAUGCCGCGUGUGUGAAGAAGGCCUUCGGGUUGUGAAGCACUUUCAGCGGGGAGGAAGGCGGUGAGGUUAAUAACCUCAUCGAUUGACGUUACCCGCAGAAGAAGCACCGGCUAACUCCGUGCCAGCAGCCGCGGUAAUACGGAGGGUGCAAGCGUUAAUCGGAAUUACUGGGCGUAAAGCGCACGCAGGCGGUCUGUCAAGUCGGAUGUGAAAUCCCCGGGCUCAACCUGGGAACUGCAUUCGAAACUGGCAGGCUAGAGUCUUGUAGAGGGGGGUAGAAUUCCAGGUGUAGCGGUGAAAUGCGUAGAGAUCUGGAGGAAUACCGGUGGCGAAGGCGGCCCCCUGGGCAAAGACUGACGCUCAGGUGCGGAAGCGUGGGGAGCAAACAGGAUUAGAUACCCGUGUAGUC